RNAcentral lists this ribosomal RNA (376 nucleotides) under uncultured bacterium. RNAcentral describes it as "bacterial SSU rRNA". It matches the Rfam family "Bacterial small subunit ribosomal RNA", at positions 521 to 896 of the family's 1533-position model. The record is from RNAcentral.
UAAGACGAACCGUGCGAACGUUGUUCGGAAUCACUGGGCUUAAAGGGCGCGUAGGCGGCUUGCCAAGUCAGGGGUGAAAUCCUGCAGCUCAACUGUAGAAGUGCCUUUGAUACUGGCGAGCUCGAGGGAGGUAGGGGUGGGUGGAACUUCUGGUGGAGCGGUGAAAUGCGUUGAUAUCAGAAGGAACGCCGGUGGCGAAAGCGACCCACUGGAUCUCUACUGACGCUGAGGCGCGAAAGCUAGGGGAGCAAACGGGAUUAGAUACCCCGGUAGUCCUAGCCCUAAACGAUGAGCACUAGAUUGCAGACUGAUCAUGGGUUUGCAGUCGAAGCAAAAGUGUUAAGUGCUCCGCCUGGGGAGUAUGGUCGCAAGGCUG